GUGAGUGUGUGUGUGUGUGUGUAUAUAUAUCUCAACACUUUUGAUUCGACCUUCAAAAACUCUCCAGACAUGAUGUAUCACACUUUAUAGUCUCAUCAGUAAUAU
Sapajus apella (tufted capuchin) is the source of this 105-nucleotide long non-coding RNA. RefSeq lists it as uncharacterized. The transcript is spliced from 3 exons. The record is from RefSeq and is a predicted model, not a curated record. NCBI's taxonomy places the organism in Eukaryota, Metazoa, Chordata, Mammalia, Primates, Cebidae.